GAUGAACGCUGGCGGCGUGCCUAAUACAUGCAAGUCGAGCGAACAGACGAGGCGCUUGCUCCUCUGACGUUAGCGGCGGACGGGUGAGUCACACGUGGAUAACCUACCUAUAAGACUGGGGUAACUUCGGGGAACCGGAGCUAAUAUCGGAUAAUAUAUUGAACCGCAUGGUUCAAUAGUGCACGCCGGUUUUGCUGUCACUUAUAGAUGGUUCCGCGCUGCAUUAGCUAGUUGGUGGGGUAAAGGCUUACCAAGGCGACGAUGCGUAGCCGGUCUGAGAGGAUGAUCAGUCACACUGGAACUGAGACACGGUCCAGACUCCUACGGGAGGCAGCAGUGGGGAAUAUUGGACAAUGGGCGAAAGCCUGAUGCAGCCAUGCCGCGUGUGUGAAGAAGGUCUUCGGAUUGUAAAGCACUUUAAGUUGGGAGGAAGGGCAGUAAGUUAAUACAUUGCUGUUUUGACGUUACCAAAAGAAUAAGCAACGGCUAACUUCGUG
Molecule: ribosomal RNA, 497 nt
Filed under: uncultured bacterium
Lineage: Bacteria
Description: partial 16S ribosomal RNA
Rfam family: Bacterial small subunit ribosomal RNA
Source: RNAcentral